AAUGAACGCUGGCGGCAGGCCUAACACAUGCAAGUCGAGCGAGCGGCGGCCGGGUGAGUAAUGUAUUGGGACUGCCCGAUAGAGGGGGAUAACUACUGGAAACGGUGGCUACUACUGCAUAAUAUCGGUUAACCCAUAUGGGAUUAGCUAGUGGGUGGGGUAAAGGCUUACCUAGGCGACGAUCUCUAGCUGGUCUCAGAGGCUGAUCAGCCACACGGGGACUGAGACACGGCCCAGGCUACUACGGAGGCAGAGGUGGGGAAUAUUGCGUAAUGGGGGCAACCCUGACCCGGCAAUGCCGCGUGAAUGAAGAAGGCCUUCGGGUUGUAAAGUUCUUUCGGUAGCGAGGCGUUAACUACAGAAGAAGCACCGGCUAACUCCGUGCCAGCCGCCGCGGUAAUUC
Molecule: ribosomal RNA, 403 nt
Filed under: uncultured bacterium
Lineage: Bacteria
Description: partial 16S ribosomal RNA
Rfam family: Bacterial small subunit ribosomal RNA
Source: RNAcentral